AUUAUCGCCGAGGGGUGGCCGAACGGCCUGAGAUCCUAAAUUGGGAACCCUUAUAACCUGAUCCAGUUAAUACUGGCGUAGGAACAGGCUGCAACUCGACUU
This 102-nucleotide non-coding RNA is filed under the name Hydrogenovibrio crunogenus. RNAcentral describes it as "Thiomicrospira crunogena TPP sequence". It matches the Rfam family "TPP riboswitch aptamer (THI element)". From Rfam's summary of the family: Vitamin B(1) in its active form thiamin pyrophosphate (TPP) is an essential coenzyme that is synthesised by coupling of pyrimidine and thiazole moieties in bacteria. The previously detected thiamin-regulatory element, thi box was extended, resulting in a new, highly conserved RNA secondary structure, the THI element, which is widely distributed in eubacteria and also occurs in some archaea. The record is from RNAcentral. Lineage: Bacteria; Pseudomonadati; Pseudomonadota; Gammaproteobacteria; Thiotrichales; Piscirickettsiaceae.